Long non-coding RNA from Wyeomyia smithii (pitcher-plant mosquito), 574 nucleotides. RefSeq lists it as uncharacterized. The transcript is spliced from 3 exons. NCBI's taxonomy places the organism in Eukaryota, Metazoa, Arthropoda, Insecta, Diptera, Culicidae. The record is from RefSeq and is a predicted model, not a curated record.
UAAACAGGUAUGUGUGUACGCACCCUAGUGAACUCACUCAACUUGAGCGAUUUAUCUGUCAAAUCAGUUGUGCUUUCAUUUCCGAACUAGCUACGGCUACGGGCAGCUUUCAGGUAUUGAUGUCAGAAAUAGUUCGAGAAGUUUCCUACCGGCUCUGCAGCAACCGGAGGUCUACGGGAUACGGGAGAAGAUUUAAACGAUAAGUUUCAACUUAAUCUAGUUACUUUUCUAUUCGAUUCAAUAUUUGCUUUUGUUUUCAUUUUUCUCUUUUCAGGUUCGCGGUUUCAGAUAGCAGCUGAGAAAAUACCAAUGGAUUUUCCUGCUUCAUCGGUGAGCUCGUAUGAACUGGUUCCCACUCUCGCCCGGAUUAUACACGGAACGUAAUAUGGACCAAGUUUGGCAUUGUAUUUCGCCAGGGCCGUCGACUGCCGAAAAUUUCUUUUCAGGACAGGCUGGCCUAUACUGUAAGUAGGGGCAAACGUUUUGCUUCGGAGAUUGUAAGUACGUGAAUUUUUGACGUAUUGUUUUUUCAGGUUUUUGUACACCAAAUUUUGAAUAAAGUUAUCUACUUUUU